UACAGAGGGUGCGAGCGUUGUUCGGAAUUAUUGGGCGUAAAGGGCGCGUAGGCGGCGCCACAAGUCACUUGUGAAAACUCUGGGCUCAACUCAGAGCCUGCAAGCGAAACUGUGGUGCUGGAGUAUGGGAGAGGUGCGUGGAAUUCCCGGUGUAGCGGUGAAAUGCGUAGAUAUCGGGAGGAACAUCGAUGGCGAAGGCAGCCCCUUGGACCUGUACUGACGCUCAUGCACGAAAGCGUGGGGAGCAAACAGG
RNAcentral lists this ribosomal RNA (253 nucleotides) under uncultured prokaryote. Its description in RNAcentral is "partial 16S ribosomal RNA". It matches the Rfam family "Bacterial small subunit ribosomal RNA", at positions 524 to 776 of the family's 1533-position model. The record is from RNAcentral.